Molecule: ribosomal RNA, 512 nt
Filed under: uncultured bacterium
Lineage: Bacteria
Description: bacterial SSU rRNA
Rfam family: Bacterial small subunit ribosomal RNA
Source: RNAcentral
GAUUCUGGCUCAGGAUGAACGCUAGCUACAGGCUUAACACAUGCAAGUCGAGGGGCACCAGGGAGAAAGCUUGCUUCUUGCUGGCGACCGGCGCACGGGUGAGUAACGCGUAUCCAACCUUCCCCUUAGUAGGGCAUAGCCCGGCGAAAGUCGGAUUAAUACCCUAUGUUAUCCGAAGAGGACAUCUGAAUUGGAUUAAAGAUUUAUCGCUAAGGGAUGGGGAUGCGUCUGAUUAGGUAGUCGGCGGGGUAACGGCCCACCGAGCCUACGAUCAGUAGGGGUUCUGAGAGGAAGGUCCCCCACAUUGGUACUGAGACACGGACCAAACUCCUACGGGAGGCAGCAGUGAGGAAUAUUGGUCAAUGGGCGCGAGCCUGAACCAGCCAAGUAGCGUGCAGGAUGACGGCCCUAUGGGUUGUAAACUGCUUUUAUGCGGGGAUAAAGUGCACCACGUGUGGUGUUUUGUAGGUACCGCAUGAAUAAGGACCGGCUAAUUCCGUGCCAGCCGCCGC